This 485-nucleotide ribosomal RNA is filed under the name uncultured bacterium. RNAcentral's name for it is "bacterial SSU rRNA". It matches the Rfam family "Bacterial small subunit ribosomal RNA", at positions 29 to 509 of the family's 1533-position model. The record is from RNAcentral.
AUUGAACGCUGGCGGCGUGCCUAACACAUGCAAGUCGAGCGGUAACAGGUGUAGCAAUACAUGCUGACGAGCGGCGGACGGGUGAGUAACGCUUGGGAAUCUGCCUAUUAGUGGGGGACAACCCGGGGAAACUCGGGCUAAUACCGCAUACGCUCUACGGAGGAAAGCCGGGGACCGCAAGGCCUGGCGCUAAUAGAUGAGCCCAAGUCGGAUUAGCUAGUUGGUAGGGUAAGGCCUACCAAGGCGACGAUCCGUAACUGGUCUGAGAGGACGACCAGUCACACCGGAACUGAGACACGGUCCGGACUCCUACGGGAGGCAGCAGUGGGGAAUAUUGGACAAUGGGCGAAAGCCUGAUCCAGCGACGCCGCGUGGGUGAAGAAGGCCUGCGGGUUGUAAAGCCCUUUCAGUGGGGAAGAAAGCCUCGACCUACACGUCGGGGUCUUGACGUAACCCAUAGAAGAAGCACCGGCUAACUCUGUGCC